This 255-nucleotide ribosomal RNA is filed under the name uncultured bacterium. RNAcentral's name for it is "partial 16S ribosomal RNA". It matches the Rfam family "Bacterial small subunit ribosomal RNA", at positions 337 to 609 of the family's 1533-position model. The record is from RNAcentral.
UCCUACGGGGGGCAGCAGUGGGGAAUAUUGCCCAAUGGGGGAAACCCUGAUGCAGCGACGCCGCGUGAGUGAGGAAGUAUUUCGGUAUGUAAAGCUCUAUCAGCAGGGAAGAAAAUGACGGUACCUGACUAAGAAGCCCCGGCUAACUACGUGCCAGCAGCCGCGGUCAUACGUAGGGGGCAAGCGUUAUCCGGGUUUACUGGGUGUAUAGGGAGCGUAUACGGAAUUGCACGUCUGAUGUGAAAAUCCAGGGCC